GUCCCUGUUGCGUAACGAAUAGCGCGUUGGACUUCUAAUCCAAAAGGCGUCGGUUUGAAUCCUACCUGGGAUG
Non-coding RNA from Trichonephila inaurata madagascariensis, 73 nucleotides. NCBI's taxonomy places the organism in Eukaryota, Metazoa, Arthropoda, Arachnida, Araneae, Nephilidae. The record is from the annotation of a GenBank genome assembly.